ACAGAAACGCCGCUUGGCCUUUGGACUACACCAUCUGUCGCUCGCUCUAACGAGCCGGCGUUGCCGCCAGGGGACGCUCGGGCCGCAGGAGGUCGCUGGGUCGUGAGCUGGCGCCGGGGACGCCGAGCGACUGCGGGGUUUCCCUCAGCGUCCUGCUAUCCGGCUGCCCGCCGCGCUCCUUGGUAGUGUCCGUGGGCGCGCAGGCCUUGAAGAACCUCCUCGUGGCGGGACCCCGAGGUAACUGCUGAGGCAGAUAAUGGCGCCUGGGCUGCGGUGGGGCUUGUCCUGCCGCCUGGCGGCUUUCUGCAGGGCCAGGAUAUACUUACUUUUCUGUAAACCAACUCUUCCUUAGCGCAGGAGAGGUGUCAAAGAGCUGGCGCGUCUCCAGAGCCCCGGGAGGAAGGCUGUAACGGCAGCCCCAUCGUAGACAGGGACAUUCGCAUCCCGAGCCCUGGAUCUCUGAAAACCAGCCCAGAAUUUGGAAGCUGGAAGGAACUUUAGAUCGUCCAUUCUGAGUGUCUCUCUUCGCUGGCGUUUUCCCACUGAGGUUAUGUAAACAUGAAGAGGAGCCUACAAGUGUCAAGGAAAAAACGACAGCUAACCACAGGGCAGGCCAUGGGCAAGAUAUCUCAGUGUUCUCCGCUCUCAUAGGUCAGGCUGGAGUGCAGUGGCACGAUCACAGUUCACUGCAGCUUUGUUCCUGGACUCAAGUGAUCCUCCCACCUCAGCCUCCCAAGCAGCUGGAACUACAGCCCACAGGGGAGAUGGUCAGGCCAGUGUGGGGGCUAAUGAAUAAAUGCUACACUGUGCCCACUCAGAGACGCAAAGUCAAGAGUAGGAAGAAGCCAACCUCUGAGGUCACGACCCCCAGGAGACCUGGAGGACUGAAUGCUGCUGCCCCCAAGGAGGAGGCUGCCGUCUUAUCCCAGGAGGGAGAGCAGGAAAAUAAAAAGGUUCAAAAGGAAGUUGCUGCGUAUCCAUCUGAGGCCUCUGAGGACAGCAAAGAGCAAAGGCCCUGGGACCGGGUCUACGUGCCCAUGACAGAGCUCUGGCUGGACUGGUUCUGAGC
RNAcentral lists this long non-coding RNA (1069 nucleotides) under Homo sapiens (human). RNAcentral's name for it is "non-protein coding NDUFA6-DT:51". The record is from RNAcentral. Lineage: Eukaryota; Metazoa; Chordata; Mammalia; Primates; Hominidae.